This 506-nucleotide ribosomal RNA is filed under the name uncultured bacterium. RNAcentral's name for it is "partial 16S ribosomal RNA". It matches the Rfam family "Bacterial small subunit ribosomal RNA", at positions 28 to 507 of the family's 1533-position model. The record is from RNAcentral.
GACGAACGCUGGCGGCGUGCUUAACACAUGCAAGUCGAACGGUGAAGGGACUGGUUUUGCUGGUCCUGGAUGAGUGGCGAACGGGUGAGUAACACGUGAGUAACCUGCCCCCUUCUUCUGGAUAACCGCAUGAAAGUGUGGCUAAUACGGGAUAUUCUGGGUCUGUCGCAUGGUGGGCCUGGGAAAGAUUGCGCCUUUUUUGGUGUUUUUGGUGGGGGAUGGGCUCGCGGCCUAUCAGCUUGUUGGUGGGGUGAUGGCCUACCAAGGCGGUGACGGGUAGCCGGCCUGAGAGGGUGGACGGUCACACUGGGACUGAGACACGGCCCAGACUCCUACGGGAGGCAGCAGUGGGGAAUAUUGCACAAUGGGCGCAAGCCUGAUGCAGCGACGCCGCGUGAGGGAUGGAGGCCUUCGGGUUGUGAACCUCUUUCGCCAGUGAAGCAGGCCUGCCUCUUUUUGUGGGUGGGUUGACGGUAGCUGGAUAAGAAGCGCCGGCUAACUACGUU